ACGGAGGGUGCAAGCGUUGUUCGGAAUUACUGGGCGUAAAGCGCGUGUAGGCGGACUCAGAAGUCGGGUGUGAAAGCCCCGGGCUUAACUCGGGAAGUGCGCUCGAAACCAUGGGUCUUGAGAACCGGAGGGGAUCGGGGAAUUCCCAGUGUAGCGCCGAACUUCGCGGAUAUUGGGAGUGACACCGGUGGCGAUGGCUACCAUCUGGAAUGCUUCUCCCGAUUAGACCCUAAACCGUGUGUAGCACACAG
Molecule: ribosomal RNA, 251 nt
Filed under: uncultured prokaryote
Description: partial 16S rRNA
Rfam family: Bacterial small subunit ribosomal RNA
Source: RNAcentral